GCUAGGAUGUUGGCUUAGAAGCAGCCAUCAUUUAAAGAAAGCGUAAUAGCUCACUGGUCGAGUCGGCCUGCGCGGAAGAUGUAACGGGGCUAAACCAUGCACCGAAGCUGCGGCAGCGACACUAUGUGUUGUUGGGUAGGGGAGCGUUCUGUAAGCCUGCGAAGGUGUGCUGUGAGGCAUGCUGGAGGUAUCAGAAGUGCGAAUGCUGACAUAAGUAACGAUAAAGCGGGUGAAAAGCCCGCUCGCCGGAAGACCAAGGGUUCCUGUCCAACGUUAAUCGGGGCAGGGUGAGUCGACCCCUAAGGCGAGGCCGAAAGGCGUAGUCGAUGGGAAACAGGUUAAUAUUCCUGUACUUGGUGUUACUGCGAAGGGGGGACGGAGAAGGCUAUGUUAGCCGGGCGACGGUUGUCCCGGUUUAAGCAUGUAGGCUGGUUGUCCAGGCAAAUCCGGAUAAUCAAGGCUGAGGUGUGAUGACGAGGCACUACGGUGCUGAAGUAACAAAUGCCCUGCUUCCAGGAAAAGCCUCUAAGCAUCAGGUAACAUUAAAUCGUACCCCAAACCGACACAGGUGGUCAGGUAGAGAAUACCAAGGCGCUUGAGAGAACUCGGGUGAAGGAACUAGGCAAAAUGGUGCCGUAACUUCGGGAGAAGGCACGCUGGUGUGUAGGUGAAGUCCCUGCGGAUGGAGCUGAGACCAGUCGAAGAUACCAGCUGGCUGCAACUGUUUAUUAAAAACACAGCACUGUGCAAACACGAAAGUGGACGUAUACGGUGUGACGCCUGCCCGGUGCCGGAAGGUUAAUUGAUGGGGUUAUCCGUAAGGAGAAGCUCUUGAUCGAAGCCCCGGUAAACGGCGGCCGUAACUAUAACGGUCCUAAGGUAGCGAAAUUCCUUGUCGGGUAAGUUCCGACCUGCACGAAUGGCGUAAUGAUGGCCAGGCUGUCUCCACCCGAGACUCAGUGAAAUUGAACUCGCUGUGAAGAUGCAGUGUACCCGCGGCAAGACGGAAAGACCCCGUGAACCUUUACUAUAGCUUGACACUGAACAUUGAGCCUUGAUGUGUAGGAUAGGUGGGAGGCUUUGAAGCGUGGACGCCAGUCUGCGUGGAGCCAACCUUGAAAUACCACCCUUUAAUGUUUGAUGUUCUAACGUUGGCCCCUUACCGGGGUUGCGGACAGUGUCUGGUGGGUAGUUUGACUGGGGCGGUCUCCUCCCAAAGCGUAACGGAGGAGCACGAAGGUUAGCUAAUCCUGGUCGGACAUCAGGAGGUUAGUGCAAUGGCAUAAGCUAGCUUGACUGCGAGCGUGACGGCGCGAGCAGGUGCGAAAGCAGGUCAUAGUGAUCCGGUGGUUCUGAAUGGAAGGGCCAUCGCUCAACGGAUAAAAGGUACUCCGGGGAUAACAGGCUGAUACCGCCCAAGAGUUCAUAUCGACGGCGGUGUUUGGCACCUCGAUGUCGGCUCAUCACAUCCUGGGGCUGAAGUAGGUCCCAAGGGUAUGGCUGUUCGCCAUUUAAAGUGGUACGCGAGCUGGGUUUAGAACGUCGUGAGACAGUUCGGUCCCUAUCUGCCGUGGGCGCUGGAGAAUUGAGGGGGGCUGCUCCUAGUACGAGAGGACCGGAGUGGACGCAUCACUGGUGUUCGGGUUGUCAUGCCAAUGGCACUGCCCGGUAGCUAAAUGCGGAAGAGAUAAGUGCUGAAAGCAUCUAAGCACGAAACUUGCCCCGAGAUGAGUUCUCCCUGAGACUUUAAGUCUCCUGAAGGAACGUUAAAGACGAUGACGUUGAUAGGCCGGGUGUGUAAGCGCAGCGAUGCGUUGAGCUAACCGGUACUAAUGAACCGUGAGGCUUAACCUU
RNAcentral lists this ribosomal RNA (1854 nucleotides) under metagenome. RNAcentral describes it as "bacterial LSU rRNA". It matches the Rfam family "Bacterial large subunit ribosomal RNA", at positions 1092 to 2925 of the family's 2925-position model. The record is from RNAcentral.